RNAcentral lists this ribosomal RNA (460 nucleotides) under Oryza glaberrima (African rice). Its description in RNAcentral is "rRNA LSU_rRNA_eukarya". It matches the Rfam family "Eukaryotic large subunit ribosomal RNA", at positions 1891 to 2351 of the family's 3401-position model. The record is from RNAcentral. Lineage: Eukaryota; Viridiplantae; Streptophyta; Magnoliopsida; Poales; Poaceae.
UGGAACAAUGUAGGCAAGGGAAGUCGGCAAAACGGAUCCGUAACUUCGGGAAAAGGAUUGGCUCUGAGAGCUGGGCUCGGGGGUCCCGGCCCCGAACCCGUCGGCUGCCGGCGGACUGCUCGAGCUGCUCGCGCGGCGAGAGCGGGCCGCCGCGUGCCAGCCGGGGGACGGAUCGGGAACGGCCCCCUCGGGGGCCUUCCCCGGGCGUCGAACAGCCGACUCAUAACUGGUACGGACAAGGGGAAUCCGACUGUUUAAUUAAAACAAAGCAUUGCGAUGGUCCUCGCGGAUGCUGACGCAAUGUGAUUUCUGCCUAGUGCUCUGAAUGUCAAAGUGAAGAAAUUCAACCAAGCGCGGGUAAACGGCGGGAGUAACUAUGACUCUCUUAAGGUAGCCAAAUGCCUCGUCAUCUAAUUAGUGCGAUCUUUUUUUUUUUGCGAUUUUUCCUUGUUAUUUUCUA